UUCCCAGGAGCUCAGCAGUUUCUGAAAUACUCAAACUGGACCACCAGGCACGAACAACCAUGCCACAGUUAAAGUCACAGAUCACACUUUUCCCCCAUGCUUAUGUUUGACAUGAGCAUUAACUGAAGCUCUUGACCUGCAUCAAUGAUUUUAAGCAUUGUGCUGCUGCCACAUGACCGCCUGAAUGGGUAACUGCAUAAAUGAGCAGGUAUCCAGUUGUUCCUAUUAAAGUGGACAGUGAGUGUAUAUUUACAAGAGAGGGGUGUCCAAUUUCAUCCGGAAAGGGCCGGUGUAGGUGCAGGUUUUCAUUCCAACCAAGCAGAAACCACACUAGAUUCUGAUCUAUUGUCAUCUUUUGAUCUCAAACCCAGAUGCCUUCAGUGCACAGAAAAACAAAAAGUAUGUGCCUUGCCAUUCCAAUACUUUCGCAAGGGACUGUAUAUCUAAUACCAUAUUAUAAAGAGGCCGAUGUACCUUCCUCUUUCUGUCCUCCUCUGCAUACUUUUCAGCAUUCUUAAUCAUGUUCUCAAUGUCAUCUUUACUAAGACCUCCAGAGGACUGGAUGAUAACUGAAAAAAAUUAACAAAUGAAACAAUUCCAUAAGUUCUCCUGAGGAUUUUUUUUUUAAAAGAAUAACCUGUAUGGCAAACCUCAAAUCUUACUUUGCUGUUCACGUCCAGUGCCUUUGUCUUUAGCAGAAACGUGCACAAUUCCAUUGGCGUCAAUAUCAAAGGUAACUUCAAUCUGUGGAACUCCACGUGGAGCAGGAGGGAUGCCAAUCUGUUAACAGUAACAGAUCAUGUAUUAAAUUAGUAAUAGUUCUCCAAUUUGUAAUGUAAUUUUCCUUAAGUUAACAAACUAUUUAUUUUAAAUGCCUCAAACAGACAAAGGCGAGAAAUAACUAGAGCCACGCUAUGCGCUCCUUUAAGAGCUCAUGUAAUUAAAGCCACACUGAUGUAAUCUUUUAUCUAAGCUCUGAUUUGCAUAUGUUAUCAUAAAUACAUCAGAAUAAAAUAGUAUUUCAUUCCAUUGUAAUAAUUUUUCAGUCUUUUUAUAUGCAUACAACCUCAGUUUUUAUAUAUGUAUACUAUGACUUACCAGUGUGAACUGUCCAAGGUUCUUAUUAUCCACUGCCAUUUCACGCUCACCUUGGCAAACUUUAAUUUCUACUUGUGUUUGCCCAUCAGCAGCAGUAGAAAACACCUGAGUAAAUUCAAGAGAGAGGUAAUGCAACUUGAUAGUUAUUAAAGCCUCCUCCUAAGAAUUUUGACACCAAUUUUGGUGACACCAAUUUUGGAAACUGUAGGUUUCACCAUAUUCAGCAAGUCAGCUAAAAACAUAAUUGUGCAAAUUAACAGACAUGGCCUCAGCUGAACAAAAGAAAUAAAAAUCAUUUUCACUCUAGGACAACAACAAUAAUAUGAAGAUGUAUAUAAUUUUAGCACUCCGGUUAAGUUGUCCACCAUGGGGCUUUUGAAUUUUGUACUGUCAAAUGUUAGGUGUAUGCAAAUUUCAGGAUUUUGUGAGUUUUCCAUCGCAUAAAUUAAUGCAAAGUCAAGUUCAAAAUGGUUAUAUUUUUACCACAGUUAUUAUAGAAAUUAAUUAUAAUAUUAUACAUUAUAUAAAUGAAUUACUUAUUUAUCAAUAUUAACUUGAAUUGUUAUUUUAUCAGGAAAAUUACCUGGCUUUUUUUGGUGGGAAUGGUUGUAUUCCGGUUUAUAAGUUUGGUGAACACACCUCCCAGAGUCUCAAUUCCCAAAGAGAGUGGAGUGACAUCCAGCAGGAGCACAUCGGUCACAUCUCCAGCCAACACACCA
Ictalurus furcatus (blue catfish) is the source of this 1817-nucleotide long non-coding RNA. RefSeq lists it as uncharacterized. Lineage: Eukaryota; Metazoa; Chordata; Actinopteri; Siluriformes; Ictaluridae. The transcript has 2 exons. The record is from RefSeq and is a predicted model, not a curated record.